This 674-nucleotide unclassified non-coding RNA is filed under the name Hevea brasiliensis (rubber tree). The record is from RNAcentral. Lineage: Eukaryota; Viridiplantae; Streptophyta; Magnoliopsida; Malpighiales; Euphorbiaceae.
GCCCAAUGUAUCUCUAUUAAGUGCAUAUGAGAUAUCUGAAGUAUAUCUGAAAAAUGAACACAAAGAAAUGAAGAAAUAUAUUGCUUCAUUUGAAGGGAUUUGAAAAGAUAGGGAAGUGACCAUCAUGUGUGAUGGAUGGAGUGGGCCAAUUCAAAUGACCAUAAUCAAUUUUCUAGCGUAUUCAAAUCAUGGCACAGUGUUCCACAAGUCCAUAGAUGCAUCAAACGUAAAACACAAAGAUGAAAAUUAUUAUUUUAAAAUUGUGAAAGAGGUAGUUGAAGAAAUCGGUCUAGAGAAGGUUGUGCAAGUAGUGAAGGGUAAUGAGGCUGCCAUCAAAGCUGGUGGAAAAAAAUUGAUGGAGAAAUUCCCAACUUGUAUUGGACAGCUUGAAGUGCACAUUGUAUUGACCUUAUUUUAGAAGAUUUUGGGAAAAGAAAAAGCAUUAAGAAAAUUAUUGAUCAAGCCAAAGUUAUCACAAUUUAUUUACAACCAUAAUUGGGUGGUAAAUUAUAUAAAGAAAUUCACAGAAAAUAGAGAUAUAAUUCACCCUGGCAUCACAAGAUUUGCCACAAAUUUCAUUGCAUUGGAGUAUUUUGCUCGAUGUAGGUCGAGGUUACGAAAUAUGUUUGAAUCUGAGCAAUGGAUAGCAAGCAAGUUUGGUCAGGCUACCAAUG